Molecule: ribosomal RNA, 679 nt
Filed under: Shewanella sp. KR07-38
Lineage: Bacteria; Pseudomonadati; Pseudomonadota; Gammaproteobacteria; Alteromonadales; Shewanellaceae
Description: bacterial SSU rRNA
Rfam family: Bacterial small subunit ribosomal RNA
Source: RNAcentral
UGCCUAGGGAACUGCCCAGUCGAGGGGGAUAACAGUUGGAAACGACUGCUAAUACCGCAUACGCCCUACGGGGGAAAGGAGGGGCUCUUCGGACCUUUCGCGAUUGGAUGUACCUAGGUGGGAUUAGCUUGUUGGUGAGGUAAGAGCUCACCAAGGCGACGAUCCCUAGCUGUUCUGAGAGGAUGAUCAGCCACACUGGGACUGAGACACGGCCCAGACUCCUACGGGAGGCAGCAGUGGGGAAUAUUGCACAAUGGGCGAAAGCCUGAUGCAGCCAUGCCGCGUGUGUGAAGAAGGCCUUCGGGUUGUAAAGCACUUUCAGCGAGGAGGAAAGGUUAACGGUUAAUACCCGUUAGCUGUGACGUUACUCGCAGAAGAAGCACCGGCUAACUUCGUGCCAGCAGCCGCGGUAAUACGAGGGGUGCAAGCGUUAAUCGGAAUUACUGGGCGUAAAGCGUACGCAGGCGGUUUGUUAAGCGAGAUGUGAAAGCCCCGGGCUCAACCUGGGAACUGCAUUUCGAACUGGCAAACUAGAGUCUUGUAGAGGGGGGUAGAAUUUCAGGUGUAGCGGUGAAAUGCGUANAGAUCUGAAGGAAUACCGGUGGCGAAGGCGGCCCCCUGGACAAAGACUGACGCUCANGUACGAAAGCGUGGGGAGCAAACAGGAUUAGAUACCCUG